RNAcentral lists this ribosomal RNA (400 nucleotides) under Bacillus anthracis (anthrax bacterium). RNAcentral describes it as "bacterial SSU rRNA". It matches the Rfam family "Bacterial small subunit ribosomal RNA", at positions 39 to 422 of the family's 1533-position model. Lineage: Bacteria; Bacillati; Bacillota; Bacilli; Caryophanales; Bacillaceae. The record is from RNAcentral.
GAGCAGUGCGGGCGGCCUAUACUGCAAGUCGAGCGAAUGGAUUAAGAGCUUGCUCUUAUGAAGUUAGCGGCGGACGGGUGAGUAACACGUGGGUAACCUGCCCAUAAGACUGGGAUAACUCCGGGAAACCGGGGCUAAUACCGGAUAACAUUUUGAACCGCAUGGUUCAAAAUUGAAAGGCGGCUUCGGCUGUCACUUAUGGAUGGACCCGCGUCGCAUUAGCUAGUUGGUGAGGUAACGGCUCACCAAGGCAACGAUGCGUAGCCGACCUGAGAGGGUGAUCGGCCACACUGGGACUGAGACACGGCCCAGACUCCUACGGGAGGCAGCAGUAGGGAAUCUUCCGCAAUGGACGAAAGUCUGACGGAGCAACGCCGCGUGAGUGAUGAAGGCUUUCGGG